Molecule: ribosomal RNA, 117 nt
Filed under: Ignavibacteriota bacterium
Lineage: Bacteria; Pseudomonadati; Ignavibacteriota
Also listed under: 2 other names
Source: RNAcentral
UUUGGUGGUGAUUGCGUAGGGGAAACACCUCUUCCCAUUCCGAACAGAGCAGUUAAGCCCUACAGCGCCGAUGGUACUACGGUGGUAACGCCGCGGGAGAGUAGGUCGCCGCCAAGA